Molecule: small nuclear RNA, 102 nt
Organism: Fukomys damarensis (Damara mole-rat)
Lineage: Eukaryota; Metazoa; Chordata; Mammalia; Rodentia; Bathyergidae
Source: Ensembl
GUACUUUGGCAGCCUGUAUACUAAAAUUGGAGCAAUAGAGAAGAUUAACAUAGCACACUGUGCAAGAAUGACAUGUAAAUUCAUGAAAUAUUUGUAUUCUUU